Long non-coding RNA from Daucus carota subsp. sativus, 6503 nucleotides. RefSeq lists it as uncharacterized. Lineage: Eukaryota; Viridiplantae; Streptophyta; Magnoliopsida; Apiales; Apiaceae. The record is from RefSeq and is a predicted model, not a curated record. The transcript has 4 exons.
UGGACUUCAAUUUUCGCUAACCCGCCGCAUUUUACUGAAUCACACCUCUCUUUUUACUCAAUAACCUCUCGUCUCUCUCAUCUCCAUCGUCUCUCUCAUUUCUAUGGCACAUCUCUAUCUUCAAUUGCUUGUUAGAUUUCAAAUUAGGGCUUAAUUGGCUGUUAGAAUUCAAAUAAGGGCUCUGUCCGAAGGGUCUAGGCUUUGUUACUCCUAAUUAGGGUUUUGGUCCUUCAAAUCAGAGCUUCGUUUCUUUAUUUUAUUCGUAUUUACAGCUCAUUUAUCACUUAAACUACAUCUACUUGCACAUUAUUUUUGAUUACAGGGCUUUUUCGGCUAGGUGUUUGCAUUUUAAAUUUGGUAUUAAGGUUUUGGUACUUUAAUUUUUUUAGAAUCCAGGUCAUUUCAAAGUUGGUGGGGGAUUUCUUAGGGGGGUGCCUUUAGAUAAUUUCAGACUCGAUUCCAGUUUGAUACAUUGGCAAGCUCAACAAUAUUUGUUGUUAUUGGAUGUUAAUAGUCUUAUUUAGAGCUUGAGGAAGAAUGCAAGAUUCCCAACUCCAGGUGAUGCUUACGGAGGUUGGGAGGCCCCAAAUGUCAAGCUUCAGGGACAUUUUAUUUAAUAUUGCUAUAAAGGAGGCGGAGGGAAGGUUUUGGAGUUGAAAUAAAAGGAUGUUAAUGUGCUUCUACAUGUUGGUGACUGUAUGUUGGUCAGGUUACAUGGCGAUGUCUUAAUUAUAUCAAACGUUGGUGACUCGGGCAGUUCUUGCAGUCACUGUGACAGCCCGAGAAUCCGGGGGUCUGGAUUCUGACGUCACUACACAAAAUCAUUUUAAAACACUUUUGAAAACCUGUAUUUUUGAAAAGGUAAUAAAAAUCAAAGGAUUUAAAACCUGACAACUUUAAUAAAAGAUUUUAAAGAAUACACUUUAACCCCCUUAAAACAGGAUCGCAUCCAGGUUACAGUAUUGAAAUUAGAAUCAACCACUAUCAAUAAACAAUGUCUUACAAUCUCAGAUCAUCUUCGAUAAGAAGGAUCACUGUCAAUCUAUUUCAAUUAUGACUUGCAGCUUCAUCAAUACAAUUCUAUCUAGAACCAACCUUGACAAUCUCCCUGGACAUUCCACUUGUCCUCUGGAUGUUCUAUAACUCUGACUUCUCGCUUAGCCUUAGCCAUACUCGCAAUCUCAAUCAAGCAAUUCAUCUCUAAGCUUUUCUGAAAUGGUUAAAAAGGCAUAGCAAGGGUGAGCAACAAUGCUCAGCAAGUGUAUAUAAGCAACAAUAGUCCUGAAAUAUCUUAUCAGGGUUCACAAGUUCAGGAUAUGUAAUUGAAAACUUCACAAUUCUUAUCAGCAAUUGAAAUCAGAAUUCAAACUUACAGAGGAAUUGUCGAAUUGGAUUCAUCACAUUUUUACUUAAAAACCAAAGGUUAGGCUGCUGAUCAGUCACGCACUAACCCCGAACAUGGCACACAGCCCUGUUCUCUAUACUGGAUCCAAGGCACACAUUGGCCUAUAAUUGACCACGAAUCUGGUCUGACCACGAAUCUGGUCCACAUAUUUUAUAAAAACUAAUCCAAUUCUAACAAUUUAAAUCAACAGACAACUGAAUCAACAGAACAGAAUCAUAAUCAUUCAGCAACAGAAAUAUUUCAAAUCAACUUUUGGGAAUCAACAUUUCAUAAACCACAGUCUGUCUUUUGAUAAAUCAUAGUUCAGGAAAUUCCUAACUAUUCACUGAGCAACACAUGCUUCAAUGACGGUCUGAACUUCGAAUUAAUUUGUAGAACUGGUAUUUUUAAAAUCUUGAGGAUUGGAAAGAAUGGAUCAAAAUAGAAAGUUGAGAGUAAUUAGGUGUUUGGCUUUCAAAACUUGGAAGAAGAAAACAAUCAUGGGAUUCAUUCUCAGAAGUAAGAGUUUGUUUGAGAAGGGUCUCAGCAUAAACAAUAUCAUAAUCUUGACAGAAUAAUCAGAACAUGCAAUAUAUAUAUAUGAGGAAGGAUUUAGGAAUACUUGCCUUAAAUCCGAUUCCACACACAGCUUAAUCUUAUCUUUCCAUCUCACAAUCUGUGCAUAUCAUAACCUCCAGACCAUCUCUGGAUAUACUCUAUUCGUAGUACGACUUCGUCUCUUCGAAUUAUUUCUUAUUCGCUUUGCAUCGUCGUUUGACCUUCUGAAUGUCUUUGCUCGUAUACAUCUCGUCCAAAUCCUUUAUGAGAAUAAAAUACUACCAUAAUCACUAAACCAUCUAUUGAUUCUUAUUUCUACUUAUCAAACUCGGUACCAUAACCUAUCGCAUAUACAUAUCGCGUAUAUCGAUAACAUUCAACACAUUAUCACAUAUCAACCUAUAUAAUGUCUAUGCACUUAUCAGAUAUCACUUAGCAUAUAAUCAUGCUUUGACUCUAUCAUAUAGUCUAAUAAUAUUUCACAUAACAUUUUAUCAAUUAAAUAUCAUAUAAAUCUUAUCGAAAAUCCGACAUCGUCUCGUCUAUUUAUUAGACUAUCCACCUGUUAUCCUAUCUCAAUCAACAAUCAACCAAUCAAAUCCAAUCACUAUAAUCCAUAUGCUUUUAUCCGACAUUUAUCAAGACACGACACUAUGUCAUUCAAUCAUUUAUUACAUGUAUGUAAUACUCGAACAACCAGAUAGUCCAUGCAAUCAUUAAUAACAAUUAGAUCACAUAUAAUCAUAUUCUAUACAUUUAACAACAAUUAUUCACAUUCUAUACUCCACCAUAUUAUUAUGUCAUAUUAAAAUAGACUUUAUAAGCUUUAAUCUCUUUUUCGUUUCACUCCAUUCUGAAUUACCGAUCAAAAGUUAUAAGCAAAACCGUUUUCUAACUCUCCUGUUGGCACAUAACAUAUCAAACAGAUAGCAGACAACAUUUUUCAUAUAAGGUCUCCCAUCCCAAUUGAUGUCAAAUCAAGUCUCAGGUUAAAAAUGAUUUUUCAGGAAUUUUCUGGAAUUUCUAGACAUUUUUCGGAAUUAAAACGGGUAAAAGAAUCCAUUUUUGAAUAAAUAAUCAAGUCCGAUUGCUCAAGAUCGGGUCCAAAAUCAUUUGAAAUCAAUUAACGAGCCUCGAACAUAUUUUAGAAAAAUAAUUCAAAGCUCGAAACUAUUUUUCAGAAUUUUUAAAUCCAAAGGAACAAUUAAAUCUAAUUAAUUAAUCAAUUAAAAUCAAUUAAUAAUUAACUAAAUUAAUUAAUCAAUUAAUAUUUAAAUUAAUUGACCAAUUAAAAUAUUUAAUUACUAAUUAAAAUUAAUUAAAAAACUAAUUUAGAUUUAUUUUUGAAUAAAGAAAUAAUUAAAAAUUAUUUUUGGAAUUUAAAAUAAUUAAUUAAAAACAAUUUUAGAAAAUUAAAUCAGAAGGUUUAUUUUGUAAACUUUUGAAAGUUUUGUCCAGGGUUCAAACUGCAACUUUUCAAAGUUACAGGGGGUGUUUUGUAAGAUUCAAAACUUGGGUACGAUGACUUCAUCAUCUUUAAAAGUUGGGGUACCAAACUGCACUUGGCCGGAAAUCCGGCUCAAAGCUUCGCCGCCGCCGUUAGUUCUUCAACUCCGGCGGGGCUCCACAGGCUACCAACUUAAAAACUGAAUACGGGGAUCGAUUGGGAAUCACGCAAGCUAUCCAGUGGUACUAUCCAAUUAAACCCAGACUCAGCCGUUCGUGAACCCCCAAUUCCAAUUAAAAAUAUUCAAUAACACCUCAAAAACAUUCAAGAACACAUCUCAAGAAUCAAACCCUUAUUUCUAUAUGUUAUGGAAGUCAAAAAUCGACAUAUAAUAUAUGAAAACGAAUGGAAGAAGAUGCUCUACAACAUGGAAUCAUCAAAUCAAUCAAAACAUCACGUUUGCAAAAAUUCACUAUUUAAAUCAUAAUAAUUCGAAUUUUGUAAAAUUAAUAUAAAAUCACCUGACAAAUCUGCACAUAAACGGAUGAUUGUACUAGAUUCUACGCGUCCAGAGCUUCGUUUUGACUAUUUAUACGCCUCCAUCGGAUUCCAAUAACGCCUUCAAAUCCUCGUUUGAUUAUGAAAAACACGAAGAACACCCGUUCGUCUUCUCUCGGUAUUCGUGCAGAGAAACUGACGAAAUGAUUGUACGCGCGAAAUAAACUGGUAAGGGAUAUUUAUAGAGGAAGAUAAGAGAAUAUUCCUUGAAUAUGCUUUGGAAUAUUCCUUGAAUAUGCUUUGGAAUAUUGCUGGAAUAUGCUUCACGCAUUACGAGACAACCAGAUAAUUAUUAACUUUAAAAAUAUUAACAAAAUCGUACCGGACCAUUUACGGGGCAAACCGUACUCCGGAUUGAAAAAGUUAAAACACGAAAAAUGCUCAGAAUGUCCCAAAUAGCUUAAUGGCGAAAUUUUCCCGAACGCCCGCGGGGUUUAAAUUGUUAAAUAACUAUUUAAAUAUAAUUAAUAAUUAAACAAAAUUAAAUUCAUAAAUCGAUUAUAAAAUCACAUAGCAAUCCAAAAAUCGAUAUGAACAUAUCUAAAUAAACUAUAUUUUAUCCCGAUCAUAUCAAAAUGGAAAUAUCUCAAAUCCGAACAUAUAUGAGCAGUCAAUUCAAUAAACCAGAUAACACAAGUCUCACAAAUAUUCAUAUAAAUAUCACAUAUUAUUCAUAAAUUAUCUAGAAAAUAUCCAAAUGUUCCAUAUUUUAUUAUGAGAAUAUGAAAAUUGAAAACUCGUGAUUGCAACAUAUAUAAGCAAUCAAAAUAGAAAACUAGUUAUCAAAUAAUUUACCAAAUAUUCAAAUAAUAUUCGUAAAUAACCAUAACUGGUUACACGACCAUUACACACGUAACACUUAAUCAUGUAAUACAUAUAUUCACAUAUCAACCAUCUAACUUUUACAUGACAAACCUCUGUAUUUUCAGAAAUAAUAUUUGAAAUAAGUUUUGAAAGGAUACUCAUAUAUCCAUAUAUAAAUCAUUUGAAAAUAUCUAAAUAACACAUGACUCAUUCUGAUAAUAUCAAUAAUUAAACCCACAGUUCUGGCACAUAUUAAUACCAAUUACAGAAAAUCAAUUUACACCAAAAUUCAUGCAAUAUUCACAUUAAAUUAUCAUAACUAACUAAACUCACAAUUUCACAUGCAACACUUAGCCAUGUAACUCACAUAGCAAUCUUUUAAAUCUUUAAAAUCAAUUAUAUAAAAUAUAAUUUUGAAAAGACAACCCUGUAUUGAUAAAACAAUAACCCGGAGUUUAAAUAUACAAAUUUAAAAACACAUUAAACUAGAAUAACAUAUUAAACUUUAUUCCUUCUUUCUAAGAAAAUAACUUUCAUAACGAUAAACAAUUUUUGAAAAAAAAUCCGGGUCGUCAAGAUAUACGAAAUCAUAGAAGAAGAAUGCAUAUUCUGUUUAAACCUUAUAUUCCACAUCACAAUUAUACUCAUACUACACAGACCAUUCAUCUUAUCAGAAAGAAAUCAAUUAAAGCCAAUAAUAAUAUUCAAAAACUUAUUUCUAUAUUAAUAAACAAAUUCUGAAAAUCUGGGAUGUUACAUUCUACCCCCCUUAUAAGGAUUCUGUCCUCAGAAUCCGCGAAGAGAACGAAAAUGUACACGCUUCGUACUAUCAUCCCCCACCUUUAAUCGACCUUGGCAUACCUUUGACUUUAAAGAAAUAGGAGCAUCAAUCUUUCCCAAUUGCAGAAUUCAUUUCCCAAAAAUCAAUCUUUGAGAAUUUAGGAUGUGAACCAGAUGUGUAUAAAAUAGGUCAUGUUGGACUAAAUGAGUGACUGAGAGAUCAAUAUGAUCAAACGAACUUAGUGUUGCAUGCCUAUAUUAGACACUACUAAAGGUCGUUAACCUUCUUGUAAUCACAACACACACAAGUGAUGGCGUCCCAUCCAACUCCUAUCACACAGACAGGUAUACCUUGUGUCCCCUAUAAAUAGGGUUGUUCAUCCCAAUCAGAUAGAAGGAAUAUCAAGGAAUCUCAAAGAGUACCAAGGAAUAUCAAGGUAUAUCAAAGAAUAUCAAGGAAUAUCAAGAAAUAUCAUUGUCUUCUCACAAUAACCUUUAUCACACACCAAGAAUCAAUACCAAUAUCAAUAAUCAAUACCAAUGUUUUCUCGUCAUUCGAGAAAUAAGAAAUCUCAUUUAUCAAAACUUUUGUAGAAAAGAUAUCCCAAUAAGGACUUAAUGAUGAUGAGAAGAAUUAAAAUAAGUUUUUAUUGAAGAAAGAUAUUGCCAAGGUCUUCUCAAAUUCUUGCUCUGCUCCCAUAAGCCGUUGUUCAAGAUCAUGAUAAAGUAGUAGUUUCUAAAGUUAAAGGGCGGGAAGCUGUUGAUCGGGCUAUAGGGAAGCUGACAAGACUUCUUUGGAGGCAAAAAAUAAAGGAUACGUUUAUUGUUAUGAAUUUGAUGGUGGUUUAAGUAGUUGGUGAAUUGGAUGUUUUGGUAGCUGGAUGUUGGAUGUUUUAGUAGUUACAUGUUGGAUGUUGGAUGUUUGAUGUAAAGAUUUUAAGUAUGGUUUAUUGGAAUUGUUUAUUUUGGGAA